RNAcentral lists this ribosomal RNA (637 nucleotides) under uncultured archaeon. Its description in RNAcentral is "bacterial SSU rRNA". It matches the Rfam family "Archaeal small subunit ribosomal RNA", at positions 220 to 859 of the family's 1478-position model. The record is from RNAcentral.
UCCGAUCAGGCUGUUGGUGAGGUAAUGGCCCACCAAACCUGUAACCGGUACGGGCUCUGAGAGGAGGAGCCCGGAGAUGGGUACUGAGAAAAGGACCCAGGCCCUAUGGGGCGCAGCAGGCGCGAAACCUCUGCAAUAGGCGAAAGCCUGACAGGGUUACUCUGAGUGACUUUCGCUAAGAAAGUCUUUUGACACCUCUAAAAAUGGUGUAGAAUAAGGGGUGGGCAAGUCUGGUGUCAGCCGCCGCGGUAAUACCAGCACCCCGAGUGGUCGGGACGAUUAUUGGGCCUAAAGCAUCCGUAGCCGGUUUUACAAGUCCUCCGUUAAAUCCAGCUGCUUAACAGAUGGGCUGCGGAGGAUACUAUAAGACUAGGAGGCAGGAGAGGCAAGCGGUACUCAGUGGGUAGGGGUAAAAUCCGUUGAUCCAUUGAAGACCACCAGUGGCGAAGGCGGCUUGCCAGAAUGCGCUCGACGGUGAGGGAUGAAAGCUGGGGGAGCAAACCGGAUUAGAUACCCGGGUAGUCCCAGCUGUAAACGAUGCAGACUCGGUGAUGGACUAGCUUUAUGCUAGUCCAGUGCCGCAGGGAAGCCGUUAAGUCUGCCGCCUGGGUAGUACGGUCGCAAGACUGAAACUUAA